Molecule: non-coding RNA, 136 nt
Organism: Coniochaeta ligniaria NRRL 30616
Lineage: Eukaryota; Fungi; Ascomycota; Sordariomycetes; Coniochaetales; Coniochaetaceae
Source: the annotation of a GenBank genome assembly
GGUCCCAUAGCUCAGUUGGUUAGAGCGUCGUACUAAUAGAUUCACACACACCACAGUCUCCCCUGGAGCUGUGAUGGGGAUCCAUCAAGUAAAUGCGAAAAUGCGAAGGUCUUGGGUUCAACCCCCAAUGGGACCA